Molecule: ribosomal RNA, 500 nt
Filed under: uncultured Gemella sp.
Lineage: Bacteria; Bacillati; Bacillota; Bacilli; Caryophanales; Gemellaceae
Description: bacterial SSU rRNA
Rfam family: Bacterial small subunit ribosomal RNA
Source: RNAcentral
GACGAACGCUGGCGGCGUGCCUAAUACAUGCAAGUCGAGCGAAGUUUUUCUGGUGCUUGCACCGGAAAAACUCAGCGGCGAACGGGUGAGUAACACGUAAAGAACCUGCCUCAUAGACUGGGACAACUAUUGGAAACGAUAGCUAAUACCGGAUAACAGCAUUAACUGCAUGGUCGAUGUUUGAAAGUUGGUUUUGCUAACACUAUGAGAUGGCUUUGCAGUGCAUUAGCUAGUUGGUGGGGUAAAGGCCUACCAAGGCGACGAUGCAUAGCCGACCUGAGAGGGUGAUCGGCCACACUGGGACUGAGACACGGCCCAGACUCCUACGGGAGGCAGCAGUAGGGAAUCUUCCGCAAUGGGCGAAAGCCUGACGGAGCAACGCCGCGUGAGUGAAGAAGGAUUUCGGUUCGUAAAGCUCUGUUGUUAGGGAAGAAUGAUUGUGUAGUAACUAUACACAGUAGAGACGGUACCUAACCAGAAAGCCACGGCUAACUACGUGC